Molecule: unclassified non-coding RNA, 181 nt
Organism: Gorilla gorilla gorilla (western lowland gorilla)
Lineage: Eukaryota; Metazoa; Chordata; Mammalia; Primates; Hominidae
Source: Ensembl
AAACACUGGGAUGCCGGAGCUCAGGCAUCCCAGACAGGAGGAAGUGUGUACUCACACCAGCCAGGAGGCAACAAGCCUGCCUGGGAGGACAGACGAUCAGCCCUGGCUGUCCCUCGGGAGCGGGGAGCCUCCAAGGCACACUGCCCACUGGGUCAAGGAGUAUCCAGGAGGAGUUAGAAGG